Molecule: ribosomal RNA, 252 nt
Filed under: uncultured Sedimentibacter sp.
Lineage: Bacteria; Bacillati; Bacillota; Tissierellia
Description: partial 16S ribosomal RNA
Rfam family: Bacterial small subunit ribosomal RNA
Source: RNAcentral
UACGUAGGGGGCGAGCGUUGUCCGGAUUUACUGGGCGUAAAGGGUGAGUAGGCGGUUAUAUAAGUCAGAUGUAAAAGGCUAUGGCUUAACUAUAGUAAGCAUUUGAAACUGUAUGACUUGAGUGCAGGAGAGGUAAGUGGAAUUCCUAGUGUAGCGGUGAAAUGCGUAGAUAUUAGGAGGAACACCAGUGGCGAAGGCGACUUACUGGACUGUAACUGACGCUGAGUCACGAAAGCGUGGGUAGCAAACAGG